This 331-nucleotide ribosomal RNA is filed under the name Liberonautes nimba. Its description in RNAcentral is "partial 12S ribosomal RNA". Lineage: Eukaryota; Metazoa; Arthropoda; Malacostraca; Decapoda; Potamonautidae. The record is from RNAcentral.
AAAUACUUUAAAUUUAAAGAAUUUGGCGGUAGUUUAGUCUUUUCAGAGGAACCUGUUAUUUAAUCGAUACACCACGUAAAAUUUUACUUAUUUUUGUGUAGUUUGUAUACCAUCAUUAUCAGAUAAUUUUUAUAGAGAAUAUAAUUAUUAAAAUUAAUUGAAUUAAAAAAAUUAGAUCAAGGUGCAGCUAAUAAAUAAGUUAGAAUGGGUUACAAUAAAUUUUAUUUAUAAUGGAAUAAAUUAGUAAGAUUAAUUUAUGAAGGAGGAUUUGAUUGUAAUAUAAAUUUAAUAAGUUUAUAAGAUAUUAGCUCUAGGUUAUGUACACAUCGCC